RNAcentral lists this unclassified non-coding RNA (229 nucleotides) under Funneliformis mosseae. RNAcentral's name for it is "partial contains 5.8S ribosomal RNA and internal transcribed spacer 2". The stretch from base 1 to 71 matches the Rfam family "5.8S ribosomal RNA", at positions 84 to 154 of the family's 154-position model. Lineage: Eukaryota; Fungi; Glomeromycota; Glomeromycetes; Glomerales; Glomeraceae. The record is from RNAcentral.
GUGAAUCAUCAAAUUUUUGAACGCAAAUUGCACUCCCUGGUAUUCCGGGGAGUAUGCCUGUUUGAGGGUCGUAGAACAAAAAUCGGAGCGGCGCUCUUUUUUUUAAAGGGGAUCGCGUCGGGAUUGAGCCGUCUUUCAAAUGUUAAUUCAUGUCAAAGUGGCUUAAAAUUCAUCCAUCCGGUACGGUUAAAGGGGAUUUAAAGUCAACUUUGAUUAAGAACGCGCGAUU